UACAGAGGGUGCGAGCGUUGUUCGGAAUUACUGGGCGUAAAGCGCGCGCAGGCGGCUCUUUAAGUCUGAUGGUCAAAUGCCGGGGCUCAACCCCGUGCCCGCCAGGGAUACUGGAGAGCUGGAGACACGUAGAGGCAAGCGGAAUUCCGGGUGUAGCGGUGGAAUGCGUAGAGAUCAGGCAGAACACCUGGGGCGAAGGCGGCCAGCUGGGCCGUCCCUGACGCUGAGGCGCGAAGGCGUGGGGAGCGAACGGG
Molecule: ribosomal RNA, 254 nt
Filed under: uncultured bacterium
Lineage: Bacteria
Description: partial 16S ribosomal RNA
Rfam family: Bacterial small subunit ribosomal RNA
Source: RNAcentral